GAAUUUUAUAUAUUUUUAUUUAGUAAAAUUUAUAUCGAAAUAAAUAAGAAGAUAUUUUAUUGGGAGGAUAGUUAAAUAUAAAAAACUUUAAUUAAAAUUGAAAUAUAAAUUAAUAAAUUUAAGAAUGAUUAAAUAAAUUAAUUAAGAAUUAAUUACCUUAGGGAUAACAGCGUAAUAUUUUUGGAGAGUUCAUAUUAAUAAAAAUGUUUGC
RNAcentral lists this ribosomal RNA (211 nucleotides) under Solenopsis sp. 15 GR-2021. RNAcentral's name for it is "partial large subunit ribosomal RNA". Lineage: Eukaryota; Metazoa; Arthropoda; Insecta; Hymenoptera; Formicidae. The record is from RNAcentral.